UCGGGUGUUUUGGAUGAGCUAAACUUAAAGUAGACUUUUGCACUCAUCAUCAAAAUCGAAGUACAGUGCAGGUGCUCAACUUUUCUUUUUUUCCUUUCCCAUUUCUAUCACCAUUUCUCUGCAAUUCACCAUCUUCAUUUGCAAUUUUUCUUAAUUAAAAAAAAAAUCAUUUUCAAUUCUCUUCAAAGGCUCAUCUUACAAACAUACUCUCUAUUAUCUUCACUAUGCUCAAGUAGCCCAUUUUCCCGUCAAAACAAAACGAAUUUCACAAAUGCAAAGAUAUAAUUCGAGUUAUAAUUAAAGAGUUAUGAAAUUUUGAAGGAAUAAUUGAAGCAAGUAAUCUACGAUAGUUUUAACAUUGAAGAGUUUGAACAACAAUGGACAUAUGUAAUUAAGACUCACGAUGUUGAGUCUGAUAAGUGGCUCGAGGAAUUAUUUAAGGAGAUUACAAUGUGGGCUCCGGUUCAUAUGCAUGAUACAUUCAUAAUGCUUUCUUUGAUGGUUUCCUCAAUAGAAAAACCAAGCUAUGUGAAUAUGUUGCGCGUUAUUUUUCAACAAUAGGCAAAAGGGUGGAGGAUGAAAAGGCUGUUGAUGCCUUGAGUGCGAUGAGACAUAGACAUGUUGCUAACAAAUAUUUUCGAAAGAUAUACACGAAUUUCAAGUUUCGAGAAGUCUAAAUUCAAUGUGAGAGGGUUAUUUACUGCAACUUACGAGAGGAAAAUAUGAUUUCUGCAAUUGAGGUCAGACAUGUGAUAGAGGAUCGAGUUUGGGUUGUACCAAAAGGGACCUCCAAAGAAGUUGUCACCAAACAUAAAUGGUCCUAUGGUAUAACCUUUAACCACCAAAGUCUUGUGAUGGACUGUGAUUGCAAAUUUUUUAUAACACAUGGCAUUUUGUGUAGACACAUGAUUCGAUUAUUAGAUAUUGGUAUGAUAUUUCUAUAAUUCCAAAUAUGUAUGUUCUUAAGCGAUGGAGGCGAGAUAUUCUUAGGAAGCACACAUUGGUUAAGGUUCCAUACCAUGAUCCUUUUAACACAGUGGAGGGCAUGCGAUAUCAUAAAAUGCAGUUGACGUUUGGGCCAAUCUGUUAUGAAGCAGAUGAAGGUGACGAUACAGUUCAGCUAGUCAUUGAUGCCUUGAAAGAGCCACAUUUGAAAUUAAUUGAGAUCAAAGGUAAAAGAGAUUGUACUUUGGAUGAAGACAAUAUCCCAUCUUCAAUUGCUAGCUUUAAUACCCCAAUGGCCAUUGUGCAAUCAUCAGUUGCUAGUACAAGCCACCUAAAGGAUCCAUCAAAUAAAAAGAAAAGAGGUAGGCCAUGACCAAUCGACUACAAGGUGCUCACGAGAAGAGUGCUAAGAACGCUAAAGGCAAGAACGUCGGUGGAUGCCAAGUGCAACAAUCGAUGGAAAAUUUGGAUUUCCAAUCAUUUGUAUUUAAUGUCAAAUGUCAUAUGUAAAACCUAUGUAUUGCACAUCAUUCUCAUCUAAAAAAUCAUAUGGAUAUGGAAA
Molecule: long non-coding RNA, 1507 nt
Organism: Amaranthus tricolor (Joseph's coat)
Lineage: Eukaryota; Viridiplantae; Streptophyta; Magnoliopsida; Caryophyllales; Amaranthaceae
Exons: 2
Source: RefSeq, a predicted model, not a curated record